AAUGCAGGAACCACACUGUCAGAAACCUGAGUUAUUUGUUCGGCAGCUUCCACACCAACAGCUUUGGCAAUAUCAGAAGGCUUAGGGGCACUAAUGUGCUCAAAUUUCACACCAGAUUCUCUUUCAAUCUUUGAAAAAAUAUUGGACCUCCUUGGAUCGUAGAGCAUUACAGCUACUCCAGUAUUGCCUGCCCUUCCUGUGCGUCCAGAUCGAUGUAUAUA
Molecule: unclassified non-coding RNA, 221 nt
Filed under: Hevea brasiliensis (rubber tree)
Lineage: Eukaryota; Viridiplantae; Streptophyta; Magnoliopsida; Malpighiales; Euphorbiaceae
Source: RNAcentral